Molecule: ribosomal RNA, 454 nt
Filed under: uncultured bacterium
Lineage: Bacteria
Description: partial 16S ribosomal RNA
Rfam family: Bacterial small subunit ribosomal RNA
Source: RNAcentral
GAUGAACGCUGACAGAAUGCUUAACACAUGCAAGUCAACUUGAACUUCGGUUUGGGUGGCGGACGGGUGAGUAACGCGUAAAGAACUUGCCUCACAGAUAGGGACAACAUUUGGAAACGAAUGCUAAUACCUGAUAUUAUGAUUAUAUGGCAUCGUAUAAUUAUGAAAGCUAUAUGCGCUGUGAGAGAGCUUUGCGUCCCAUUAGCUAGUUGGAGAGGUAACGGCUCACCAAGGCGAUGAUGGGUAGCCGGCCUGAGAGGGUGAUCGGCCACAAGGGGACUGAGACACGGCCCUUACUCCUACGGGAGGCAGCAGUGGGGAAUAUUGGGCAAUGGACCAAGAGUCUGAUCCAGCAAUUCUGUGUGCACGAUGAAGUUUUUCGGAAUGUAAAGUGCUUUCAGUUGGGAAGAAAAAAAUGACGGUACCAACAGAAGAAGUGACGGCUAAAUACGUG